RNAcentral lists this ribosomal RNA (253 nucleotides) under uncultured bacterium. RNAcentral describes it as "partial 16S ribosomal RNA". It matches the Rfam family "Bacterial small subunit ribosomal RNA", at positions 524 to 776 of the family's 1533-position model. The record is from RNAcentral.
GACGGGGGAUGCAAGCGUUAUCCGGAAUCACUGGGCGUAAAGCGUCUGUAGGUGGUGAUGCAAGUCACUGGUGCAAAACUCUGGCUCAACCGGUGGAAAGCCAGUGAAACUGCAUGACUAGAGUGUGGGAGAGGUAGAAGGAAUUCCCUGAGUAGCGGUGAAAUGCGUAGAUACAGGGAAGAACACCGGAGGCGAAAGCGUUCUUCUGGAACACAACUGACACUGAGAGACGAAAGCUAGGGGAGCGAUUGGG